RNAcentral lists this ribosomal RNA (403 nucleotides) under bacterium. RNAcentral's name for it is "partial 16S ribosomal RNA". It matches the Rfam family "Bacterial small subunit ribosomal RNA", at positions 355 to 776 of the family's 1533-position model. RNAcentral also lists the same sequence under 1 other name. The record is from RNAcentral.
UGGGGAAUAUUGCACAAUGGAGGGAACUCUGAUGCAGCGACGCCGCGUGAACGAAGAAGGCUUUCGAGUCGUAAAGUUCUUUUAUAUGGGAAGAUAAUGACGGUACCAUAAGAAAAAGCCCCGGCUAACUACGUGCCAGCAGCCGCGGUAAUACGUAGGGGGCUAGCGUUGUCCGGAAUCACUGGGCGUAAAGGGUUCGCAGGCGGAAAUGCAAGUCAGGUGUAAAAGGCAGUAGCUUAACUACUGUAAGCAUUUGAAACUGCAUAUCUUGAGAAGAGUAGAGGUAAGUGGAAUUUUUAGUGUAGCGGUGAAAUGCGUAGAUAUUAAAAAGAAUACCGGUGGCCAAGGCGACUUACUGGGCUCAUUCUGACGCUGAGGAACGAAAGCGUGGGUAGCAAACAGG